AUAAACAAGGCCGACGCGGGUCAAGGUGUAGUAUCUGUUCUUAUGAGCUUAAUGCCCGAGACGGGUUGUAUUUGGACCCAAGAUACUAAACUUAUUUCGGCAAGCUGGCGGAGUGCUUGAAGCCUGCUUCUCCUCCGCCGCGGGUAGGCCCGGCAUUGCACGAUCUUCGGUAUUUUUUGGUCUAC
Molecule: small nuclear RNA, 185 nt
Organism: Dermacentor silvarum
Lineage: Eukaryota; Metazoa; Arthropoda; Arachnida; Ixodida; Ixodidae
Product: U2 spliceosomal RNA
Exons: 1
Source: RefSeq, a predicted model, not a curated record